CUUUCCCUCGCCCGCGGUGGGUCGCCGAUACAGAGCAAACCGAGAACACGGCGCCAUCACCUGUCUCCACGUUCCUCGAGGACUGCUCUUCUCUCUUAACGUCUGCUGCCACAGUUCCUGAGCAACUGAGAAGCCUAUCCUAGUUUCCCGUUCGAGUCACCAAGAAGGAUUUUCGUGUUCAAAGCCAAAUACAUCAGCUAAGAACAGCUCAGCAAACAGGGAAAAUUUUACUAGCAGAGAAAAGCAAACUCAGGAGAGCAAACACUGGGACUUUUGAAAGGAAAGGAAGAAAGAAGAAAGAAAAGAUCCUUUGAAGAGGCAAGAGGGAAGGGAGAUGGUUUUGCCAUGUUUCUUUCCUCUGGGUGUUGCUCCCUCUCAGGGCCUGGGUCACUGGUCCCUUUGCCCACCCCUCUGGAAAUGCCACUGCCACCAAGCUAUAGGAAGACUGUCUUCUUAUGGGCAGAAACAUCUUCCCCGGGGCUGCAAGACAGAAGAAACCAGCCUCUAGUGGAAGACUGGUAUCUGGGAACAGAAUGAUCCUACCCCUCUGGAUGGAGCCAGCAUUUUCUCCCCAGAUCAAGCCACUUCUGCUUGGUCUGCGGCCACCCAGCUGGGUUAGAAAAAGAGAAGCCUGCCUGAUGAGCCUCAUAGCUAAAGGCUCCAAGACAUCAAAAAUUAAGCUUAUUCCAGGGGCGCCCAUGUGGCUCAGUCGGUUAAGCAUCAGCCUUUGACUCAGGUCAUGGUCCUGGGAUUUUGGGAUUGAGCCCCACAUCAGGCUCUCUGCUCAUAUACCUCUCCCUCUGCUCCUCCCCCUACUUGUGCUCUCUCUCCCUCAAAUAAAUAAAUAAAUAAAUAAAUAAAAUCUUUAAAAAAAAUUAGGCUUAUUCCAGUCUGUUCCAGUGUUCUAAAAAAUAAGUACUCCAUGCAGUUCCCUGAAACAUAGAAUAAGCCUUUAAAUUGACCUUUCCAAAGAGACAGUUAAGACCUUCCUAAAACCUCUACAAGCUAUGGAAAACUUUCAGUAAUUUCUUAGUUGGGUUUUUCUUUAAAAAUGUCCUGCUUCUUAUCAGUUUUAGAUAUUUUUCCAAGAACCCCAGGGAGAUUUGCAGUGGGAUAAUCCAGUUUACAUGGUAAAAAUGAAACCACAACCACGUAGCUUAUGAUGCAACAAAUAAAGUAUAAUAAAAGAAGCACUGAAGAACACCGGAAGGUUUGGUAUCUUAAGAAGAAAAACCACAGCAAGAUGGCUUUGACCCGCUGACAUCAUUCCUCAGGUUUCUCCAUGCACUGACCCGGGGUUUCUGUUUC
Molecule: long non-coding RNA, 1308 nt
Organism: Mirounga angustirostris (Northern elephant seal)
Lineage: Eukaryota; Metazoa; Chordata; Mammalia; Carnivora; Phocidae
Exons: 3
Source: RefSeq, a predicted model, not a curated record